GUCGAAAACGACGGCGAAAGAAGGGUAGUUGAGAUCGUUAACACUGUACUUCUUCUUGGGGUCGCAAGUGAAAUCUCUCCUUGCCAAUGAGUUGAUCUGCGACGGAGUAUAGUUGAGUGCGCAUAGGAAGUUUAGGUAAUCGUCCACCGUUAGAUCGUAAACAAGACCCGGAUUGAGAGCUGAUACGGGAUCGACGUGUCCGGCUCCGUGAUCGAAUGCGGUGGAUGGUUUUCCGGUGGCUAUAUCUUGGAUCUUUUGGCCGUUUUUGUAGGCUGUGUAGGCUGUUGUCAUCAACGCCGAUCGAAUCGCCGCCGGACUCCAAUCGGGAUGAGCGCCCUUGAUCAGAGCGGCGAGACCGCUCACAUGGGGGCAGGACAUGGAGGUUCCAGAGAUAAUGUUGAAAUCCACUCGUCUGUCAUCAAUGGCUAAACCACUUGGUCCCACUGAUUUUGACCAUCCAGCUAAGAUGUUGACGCCAGGGGCUAUUAUGUCGGGUUUCAGCAACUGAGGAGUGAUCGAAUUUGGUCCUCGGGAGCUAAACGCCGCCACCACCGGCGAUGGUUCGAUCCCCAAUUUAGUCCCUUCGAAUAAGAUCGUCACCGUCGGAUUGGGCUCCGAAAUGAGAUACUUCCGUAUAAUGUCACCGGAUUUCUGACCGACAGCCGUGGCCGGCAGAAGAUGAGAGUCAGCCACCAGCUCUUCUCCAUUUGCGGCAGUAUUGGCCAGCACCAUUCCGAUUCCACCUGCAGCCUUGACGACCGCACCUUUCUGAACCCUAGGGUUUACACCUCGGUCGCAGAAAACGAUCUUUCCGGCGACUUUUUCAGGGAUCAAAGUACCGGUCAUACACAAAUUGCCAUUACCAGAG
Molecule: unclassified non-coding RNA, 868 nt
Filed under: Hevea brasiliensis (rubber tree)
Lineage: Eukaryota; Viridiplantae; Streptophyta; Magnoliopsida; Malpighiales; Euphorbiaceae
Source: RNAcentral